Molecule: long non-coding RNA, 468 nt
Organism: Camelina sativa (false flax)
Lineage: Eukaryota; Viridiplantae; Streptophyta; Magnoliopsida; Brassicales; Brassicaceae
Source: RefSeq, a predicted model, not a curated record
ACAAUGUCAUCUCCACCACCUCUUGCUUCUAUAUAACUCAUCUCGUAUGUCUGUCUCUAUAAAAUCUCACAACUUAUAUGUCUUGCAAAUCUUAAGCCGCUUAAGAAACAAACAAAAAAACAACCAAACAUGAGCUAUAAUACAAAAGAAUUAGUAUUUCUCAUUGUUCUUAUUUUCACAAUCACCUCCGUUCAUGUUUCUGCCGCUACCCCUCGUCAUUUUGUGAAUCUCAGGUCGAAGAAGGAGACUAGUAGUCAAGUACAGGAGAGAGAGCUUGUGGAGUUUCAUCUUGACUAUGCAAGAACAGGGGCCAAUCACGAUCAUGAACCGGGGAAAGGAAGACCUUAAAACAACUUCAAUCAAGAUUAUACCAAACUUACUAUUUAUUUACCAAUAAGCUUUUACUUUUUAACCUGUAAAAUAUCACACUUCUUCUUUUGUUAAUGGUAAAAUAUCAAUAUAUACAUA